CAGUCGCCGCGGUAAUACAGAGGCCUCAAGCGUUGUUCGGAUUCAUUGGGCGUAAAGGGUGCGUAGGUGGCUUGGUAAGUUGAAGGUGAAAUCUCGGGGCUUAACCCCGAAACUGCCUUCAAUACUGCUAGGCUCGAGGACUGUAGAGGAGAAUGGAAUUCACGGUGUAGCAGUGAAAUGCGUAGAUAUCGUGAGGAAGACCAGUGGCGAAGGCGAUUCUCUGGGCAGUUCCUGACACUGAGGCACGAAGGCCAGGGGAGCAAACGGGAUUAGAUACCCCUGUAGUCCCUGUCUCUUAUAC
Molecule: ribosomal RNA, 301 nt
Filed under: uncultured bacterium
Lineage: Bacteria
Description: partial 16S ribosomal RNA
Rfam family: Bacterial small subunit ribosomal RNA
Source: RNAcentral